Misgurnus anguillicaudatus (oriental weatherfish) is the source of this 1016-nucleotide non-coding RNA. The record is from RefSeq and is a predicted model, not a curated record. Lineage: Eukaryota; Metazoa; Chordata; Actinopteri; Cypriniformes; Cobitidae.
UAAAAGUUUCGUCAUUCAGGGUAAUGUUUUGUCAUUCGGUGUAAUGCAAAUUGUAUGUUACACCACAGUGUCAUCCAUUACACUGAAUGACAGUGUCACUGUUUAGAUAACAUUUUUAGCAUUGUAUUUAUAUUUCAGAUAAAUGAGGGAUGUUUAGCACAAAAAAUAUAUCAAACUUUAUCAAUAUUAUUGUUUUAAUGCAUUUUUGUCGUUUUGGUACUGAUUUCUUUUAGAUGCCCACAAACAAAAAGAAAGUUUCUAGGCACUGGCAGAAAGUUAAUGCAGACCCAGUAGCUAGGGCAAUGCAUUUAGCAAGGAGACGAGAAAGCAACCAGAGAAGAAAGCAAGCUGCCUUGGCUGCAAAUCCAGAUCACCCGUCAAUCAGGAAUUUAUCAGAUGCUGCAGCUGAGAAGAGGCGAAAGCAAUGGCGAGAAAAUCAAAGAAAACACAGGGCAGAAGCUAAACGUAUAAGGGCAGUUCUGGAUCUUAUUAUACAGUAUUACCUGUUCAGUUAAUUUUUACGAAUAUGAUAUGUAUUGUGGAAUAAAAUGAUUAUUCAUUUCAGCAUCUACUUCUGUGAUUUGUUUAGGAAUUAAAUGAUACAGAAUAAUAUUCAAAACAUUGCAAUAAUGGAAACACUAUUUUUGUCAAAAAAAAAUUGUCACUAUUUUUGUGAAAAAUGUCAUUCAGUGUAACAAACCAUGGUCAUUCGGUGUAACAGAUAUAUUUAUGUAGAAAUGAAACAAUAUACUUAUUCUGAGCUGUACUUAUUAAAAUAUUUAAAAUAAUGUGUGAUCCUACAAAAAUUUUAUUUGAUUUGAAUUGAUUUUCACUUCCUUACAAAAACUUCUUGCUGACAAAUGGGUAAAACCUAAUGGUUUAAAGGAUAUUGGCGAAGUAAAAUGCUUUAAAAUGACAAAUAGUUAGUAUUUUGUGUCUGCACUGUGAUCUAUAAAUAGAGUCUUGUAAUGUGUCAUCAAAUAAUAGUUUUUCUAAAAAUGUCUGAUAAUAUUUUU